Long non-coding RNA from Bombus huntii, 3300 nucleotides. RefSeq lists it as uncharacterized. The transcript is spliced from 3 exons. The record is from RefSeq and is a predicted model, not a curated record. NCBI's taxonomy places the organism in Eukaryota, Metazoa, Arthropoda, Insecta, Hymenoptera, Apidae.
UUUUAAAAUGUAGAAUACAAAGUUACAGGUAUUUUAAAAUGUAGAAUACAAAGUUACAGGUAUUUUAAAAUGUAGAAUACAAAGUUACAGGUAUUUUAAAAUGUAGAAUACAGAGUUACAGGUAUUUUAAAAUGUAGAAUACAGAGUUACAGAUAUUUUAAAAUGUAGAAUACAGAGUUACAGGUAUUUUAAAAUGUAGAAUACAGAGUUACAGGUAUUUUAAAAUGUAGAAUACAGAGUUACAGGUAUUUUAAAAUGUAGAAUACAGAGUUACAGGUAUUUUAAAAUGUAGAAUACAAAGUUUUUGUAUUGUUUUGAAUGACUUUAGCACUAGAACUACCACACCAAUCGAAUUGACUGGUUUUAUAACUUUAUUUUAAAAUUCCUAUUUCAUUUAUAUUUUCUUCCACAAUGAUGUAACGAGUUUUGCAACGAUAACUAAAAGAAUAAUAUAAUGAAAUUUAUUUUGUUUUUUAUGUAUUCAAACUGAAAAUAAUUUUGUAUCAAGGCUACUUAUACCAAUACCAGUCAAAAUGACUGGUACUUGUCAAAGUGUAAAAGGAUGCUGCGAUCUGUUUAUCGAACCCCAAUUAACCAGUUUCCUCGUUUUGUACAACUUCCCACGUGUUUUUCAAAUUUUUACUACGUAUCAUUCGAUAUGAUGAUAUCGGCUAUCAGGAAAAUUCCGGAUCGAUCGCUAGAUCGCUAGAUGCUAACACUAGAAAUACCACAGCGAUCAAAACGGCUGGUUCUACAAUUUUAUAAAUGUGUCGACCCUAGUUUAGGGAUGAUGGUCCCAGAUGGAUUAAUAAUACCAAAAAUGUACUACACAACAUGGAAUUGCUUCUGUAAGAAAGUAAUAAAUCAAUAGAUAUAAAAAUAUUCUAUUAUUGUGUAUUUUUUAAAGACCACUCGUUUUGACUGGUUUUGGUAGAAAUAGCUUCGUGUUAACUAUCGGUAGUUCUAGUGUUAAUAUUACUAUUUGCACAUCAUUGUAGCAUUUAAAAUCUGACACUUAAAAACUUGCAAGUCGAAGUAUGAUGAGAAUAAGUUGCAGUUGCCGGUCGACAUUCGCAAUUAAAAGUCUCAGCGUUAAGGGUUAGAUAAAAGUAAAUAGUUAAAUCGCUAUGGAAACACAGCACGAGCGUGCAGUCGUGUCCUCGGUCCACGCGGUUCACGAUAUUUCCACGACGGCGGUGAGGCAGCGACGCUUAACGUCCCCGUGAAAUUGUAACGGCGGACCAUGCGAAUUUACAGCCAGAGACCGGUGCAAUGUCGGUUUCGUCGUCGGCUGUUAUCCCAUGAAACAAACUGUUCAACCACGCGUAAUUUCAUAGGCCAUAACCACGUUUAUUCUUUCGCUCUUCGCCUCACAACGCUAUGGGACUCGCGCGAUCGCUCGAAUAAUCGAAUCUCGAGUAUUUAGACGCCAGAUAAACGAGUCAUCAGGUGGUAAAGCUGCUGGUUCAAUAACAAAUCGUUUUCGCGUUUAGUCAGCGGCGAUUGUUCUACGAAUUUCUAUGCAAAUUUACGUUUUUACGAAUACAAAUAUAUACAGGAUACUCGUGCAGUUUGGUGUACGGUUAUUCUACGCGUAAAAAUAGAACAGAAAUGUCAUGUAACAAAAAGACCAUAAACGUAUCGUGACAAAGUUGUGACAAAAAUAUAUGUACGUCAAUAUUCUUUGUCUUAGUUUAACACAGAACAAAACAGGAUGCGUAAUGUUCGUGGUUGAUAUGAAACGAAGAGUCCACAGGACAAGAAUUAGUAUUUUUCAGGAAAGAAAAUUUGCUUUUCGCCAAUGUCACAACUUGGUAUUUUCUCAUGUGUUGAAAUAGAAGAUCAUUUGAAAUCUUCAUUUUAUUCCGCAUCAUUUUCAAUGUAAUGGUAUCCCACCGGGGGUAGCCAUCCACAUGUUAUAUUACUAUAUCACUAAGCUAUAAUAUUUUACCAAAUGUCCUACUGGACAAAUUGUAAAAUGUAAAUAAAUAAAUAAAUAAAAAAAAAUGUUCAAUGUUUACGAGCCCCGAGAUAUUCCCGUUUCUUAUAUCGUUCUCCUUUGACAUUGCUCGUUUUUUCGUUGUACAAUCUAAUUUCUUAUUGCUUUUUAAUUGGGUUGGUUGAUCAUCUGUGUCUUAGCCACUGUGAAACUGAGAAAAUUUUAAUUCGCAAUUUAGUUCCACUGAAUUCGUUAAAAUUGACAUUUGUUGACAUGAGAAAUUGUUCAUAUGUUUAGUUAUAAUGCUUAUAAAUUAUACCUAUCUAUAAUAAGUAUUAACUUAUUGUAAAUAAACAGCCAUGUCACUGCGCCACGCCAGAAAAAUUACUGAAAAUUCUCAACGCGAGAAUUGAUUGUAAUUUCAACAAAUAAAUAAAAAAAAAUAUAUGUUUAGUAUCUGUUUGCACGAUUCUACUGUACUACGGUUUUCUUUCAAUUUCGUUCUGGUUUCUAAAUUAGUCGCACGAAUCAGAACGAAAAGCGCGCGUGAAGAAAUGAGACAAAAUAGCCGUGAAAUUCUAUCUGAUAAAUUCAAUGGCAUAUCGAUAUCAAAUUUGCAUUGAUAAGGGCGAACGACACAUCGAAACGAUAAGUAUGUUUAGCUUUGCGUAUUCACACUUUUGUUAUAACUAUUUGACAAAACGUUUAUGGACAUCUUAUCUAUAAAAAUUCGCCACGAUGUUUCGUCAGCGUUUUCACAUCAAACUACGAACGUGUAAUCUCGCAAACUUUCUUAAAAUCAGUUUACUAUCAAUUUCAAAAAAAAAACACUCUGAUUCGUCGAAGAUACAACGUAAAGAUACGAAUCCUCCAACGUUGCAAGUCGAAUCGCGGCGAACUUACAGUUCGAAAAGUGCACAGAAACAGCGAUCUAAAAAUGUGGAAUUUAAUUUCUGCGAUAAUGAGCGGCAUAGAAUGUCAAAGAAAAGUAAUAGUCCAUGAAAAUGGCGAAAAAGAAAGUGUACGUAAAUACGUUCGAAAAAGACCUUUCGUGCUAUAAAUCCGUGGUCCUCCUGACCUUGUUAAAGUCGUAUCUCGGGAAGAUCUUCAGCACGUACGGCAGGUUUCAAGAGCAUACUUGCCACCUGGCGGCCAAGCAUCUUCGCCUUCCUCCCCUUUCCUUCCUCCAUCAUUCCUGCUGCUGCUGCUGUUGCUUGCUUCCUUUCGCAGUUACGCGACAAAAACUAGUCGCAUGCUUAGCUAAAUGCUCUCCCGUUGGCUCCUUGUCCUUGGCCCUCGUCCUUUUAGAAAGAAGCCGAUGCCGUCAGUUUCUUCCUCGCGAUGGCCACCACAUUCCCUCU